Molecule: non-coding RNA, 73 nt
Organism: Trichonephila inaurata madagascariensis
Lineage: Eukaryota; Metazoa; Arthropoda; Arachnida; Araneae; Nephilidae
Source: the annotation of a GenBank genome assembly
GUUCCUGCAGCGCAAUGGGUAGCGCGUUGGACUGAAACCAAAGGUCGUGGGUUCAAAUAUACCACCUAGAACG